Stomoxys calcitrans (stable fly) is the source of this 291-nucleotide long non-coding RNA. RefSeq lists it as uncharacterized. The record is from RefSeq and is a predicted model, not a curated record. The transcript has 2 exons. NCBI's taxonomy places the organism in Eukaryota, Metazoa, Arthropoda, Insecta, Diptera, Muscidae.
AGCGAUUUCAUUUAAGCCUUUUUAUGGGAAUCCUAAUCUGAGUGUUUUUAGUCCACUGCGGCAUAAUUACAAAGAACAAUUUACAACGAUGACGAUGGCGAUGACAAUUACUGUUGCAUGCAACCCUGAACAAAUGAUCGACUUUUCAUGCACCAUCGCUGCAUUAUCGGCUCCUUUGAAAAAGCAUUUAUUUCCUGUCAUGAUUGAAGUUGUCAAGCACGCAAACAUUUUAACCAAAUACGUGAUCAACUUUAAUAAAUCUUCAUAUAUGUGAAUUAUGGAAAAAAGAUA